CAGAUUUCAAGUCUUGAGUAAAAAUACCAUCAGGGGAAUGGGCCCUAUUGUGUUCACACAUUCAGAACCUGUUGUUCAAGGAAUCCCCUAAAGGAAUUUAUUUCUUUACUAUUUCUGAAUAUGAUUCCGUAUUUGGCGUUAUGUGUUUGAGUGCCUGGUAUGAGGACUGGGAAGGACUUGAACGAAAGAGAACAGGAAACUCAAAUGAAAAAUGUGAUUAGGUAUAUGUAACAUUUCCCUGGUCUGUCAGAUGUGAGAUGCUAAGAACUCUCAGCCAAGAUAUUACUCAUGAAUCAUAUUUCUUAUUGCCAGUCUGGUUACACCCUUGGUGGGAGAUACACAGAGUAAACACGGAUUUUGUGUGUGCAUGUUUUUUUAACUUCUUGUGGACAAAAAUACUUGCAUUAAUUUUGUCCAAAUGUUUUUAGAGAGAACAAAUAGUACUAUCAUUGCUAGGAACAGUUAGAAAAUAAAAUCACAGUUGCUUUCAUAAAUAAAGUUAUUUCAUCAAGGCAAAGAGACAGCUUCCACUUAAUAAGAAGAGCUCUUGUUUUCAAUGUAUGUGUCUCGAAUUCAAAUUUCACCUGAUGCUUGUUAUUGGAUCUUUUUGGCAAGUUGCUUUAACCUUACUGGAUGUCAGUUUCUUAAUCUAUAAAUUAGGCAUUGUACCACUUGUGGUAGGAAAUAAAUGAAUACAUUUUGGUGAAGAUAACUAGCAUCGUACUUGGCUGUGGAUCUUAACUCUAUUUCCUAGACAAAAACUGACGCAGAGGCAGGAAACGGGAGUUCCUUAGGGAUUAACCCCCGCCCCAGUUGCUAAUUGCCAAGGCUGUCCCUAUAGACUCUUAAAAAAAUGAUUCAAGGGCAGAAUGGCUGGUGUUUUCCACUUGGAAAAACUGAUUAUAAAUCAUGUGUAGAAAAGUUUGUGUGUGAAGAAUUAACACGCAGAGAACAAAGCUGCAAAAACCUGAUUGGCUAGAGUAGCCUAUGGAUGAGCAGGGAAGUCCAUUCAUGUAUUUUUUUCUGUUGUUGAAAAUCUUAAAAAAAAAAAUGUGCUUAGUCCUUCCUGAUCCUCUUACUCCCUACAACCCUGCCACUCUGCAGCUUGAUUAGGGUUCCCUGCUGUACUUUCUUUCCCCUAGUAUCUUAUCAGUACUUCCCCGGUAUCACAUGCCACACCUGCAUCACACCAUGGACUCUAAGCUCUGUGAAAUCAGAUAUCCUGAAAGAGCUGUCAUUUCACAACAAAUUAAAUGCUACAUGUGCUAGUUGUUGAUAUAAACUGCUGUAUCCCAGGGAUCCACCCAGAGCAACAGUAGCUGACAUUUUACACUUUACUCUUGAUUCGGAAUGUUAUAGGGCAGAAGGCAUCAUCCUGAACCAUAACUCCAUAGAGAUAAAGGCAGAUUAUGUCAAAGUUGUAAUGACUGAAAGAUACUAAUCGAAGGUUGCCUUUUUUUUUUUUAAUUAAAGCCAAAUCUAAGUUAUCGAAUACUACAGAACCACCUUGGUAUUCCCAGUGUGAUUUUCUGUUGAUGGAAACCAUGGGUAAGCUUCUCUGAGGACUGGAAGAAGCUCAGAUUUAUUUUGUUACUAAAAACUGCACAGUUGAUUUUGACAUAAUAAAGAAACCAGUUUUAUCUCCCCACCCCAUCCCCUUAUUUUUCCCUAAUAGUGGAUCUGAGGGAAGUUGACUGGUUUGGCUUUUCCCUCUCUGAGUCAGGUGCUGUUUCCUUAUAGUUUAUCAUAUAAUAUGUGGUAAGUUAUCAUCACUGGCCACCUUAGGGCCAGCCUCCUCCUCAAGAGGAUGGAGGACUCGAUCCAGGCUUUAUUUUGUUUUGACCAUUCAAACAGUCACAGAUAAUAAAACAAAUAAAAACCAAAGAACCCAGAAAACUUUCAGCCAAA
Bubalus bubalis (water buffalo) is the source of this 1908-nucleotide long non-coding RNA. RefSeq lists it as uncharacterized. The transcript is spliced from 2 exons. The record is from RefSeq and is a predicted model, not a curated record. Lineage: Eukaryota; Metazoa; Chordata; Mammalia; Artiodactyla; Bovidae.